CCUACGGGAGACAGCAGUGAGGAAUAUUGGUCAAUGGGCGCGAGCCUGAACCAGCCAAGUAGCGUGAAGGAUGACUGCCCUACGGGUUGUAAACUUCUUUUAUAAAGGAAUAAAUUGAGGCACGUGUACCUUUUUGUAUGUACUUUAUGAAUAAGGAUCGGCUAAUUCCGUGCCAGCAGCCGCGGUAAUACGGAGGAUCCGAGCGUUAUCCGGAUUUAUUGGGUUUAAAGGGAGCGUAGAUGGGUUGUUAAGUCAGUUGUGAAAGUUUGCGGCUCAACCUUAAAAUUGCAAUUGAUACUGGCAGGCUUGAGUACAGUUGAGGUAGGUGGAAUUCGUGGUGUAGCGGUGAAAUGCUUAGAUAUCACGAAGAACUCCGAUUGCGAAGGCAGCUUACUAAACUGCGACUGACAUUGAGGCUCGAAAGCUUGGGUAUCAAACAGGAUUAGAUACCCUUGUAGUC
RNAcentral lists this ribosomal RNA (460 nucleotides) under uncultured bacterium. Its description in RNAcentral is "partial 16S ribosomal RNA". It matches the Rfam family "Bacterial small subunit ribosomal RNA", at positions 338 to 795 of the family's 1533-position model. The record is from RNAcentral.